UGGUGGCACAGCCUGUGGAGCGCUCAGCGGUGGCGAUGGUGCCGGCCCAGGCCUGGGAGCUGUGCGGCGCAGUGAGGCGCGCUGAGUUGUGUGGUUUCACCCAUAGACUGGACGUCUUUCUGUGACCGAAGGAGCAGCGGUGAGGAGUGAGCAGAGAUCAGAAAAAGAAGGGUUGACUGUUUAUGGAGUUAUAGUAAAACACAUAAACAGAGAUAAUUCUACCUUCUAGAGCGGUACACUAUCACCCAGCCAUGCCUGUAGAAGGAAAAAGUGAUAUGGAGAGGAUUGGCCUCUUCAGUGAAAUGAGCUAUAUUACCAUUGGAGAUAAAUAUGUAUCACAUUAUAUGCGCCCUUUUAAUGAAGCUGCAAGCAGGAACAGACAGAUGCUAUCUGAGGGGAGCAAAACAUUGUCAGCUCUUCAGGCAGGUUAUUUUGACCCUCAGUUUAAGAGGAUUUUCACUGGUGAAGCCUACUCAAAUCCUGUUCAACUAAGGAGACGUUAUAGAUUGGCAGAAUCAAAGAAAAAUUUGGGCAAAGCUUUCCUUCCCAGUAAUGGAGAUAAAUUGCCAUGUGGACUAGGUAGCUAUUAUGGAACCAUAGGAGGUCCGUUUGCAUACUUCAGUGCACAACUGAAAGCCAGAGAAAGAUACAUUCCUCCUGGAAAGAAUCUUUAUACUAGUCCAGGAAAAAAAGGAACUGGAUAUGGUUAUGCAAAUCUUACUAUAGGUGAGCAAUAUCCACAUGAAGCGGAUGGCUAUGAAUUAGAAAAAAUAAUUGCAAAGAAAGCACGAGAGGAACACAAGCGUUUGGCUAAAGGAGGGCCUUUCAAGACAAAUAUGUACCCCCUGGAGUAUUUUGACAUGAAUCCCUAUUUUAACGACAAACCUUUGCCACCUGUGAAGAAACCACCUCCAGAGAAGCGAAUUGCACCACCUUUCAGACCAAGUUCCCCUGCUAAGAAGUUAGGGGGCAUGAAAGGUGGCACAUUUGAUCCUUAUCCAAGCCAUUCUGCUGACCCUUAUGUAACCAAAAAAACUAUGGCUGCCUCAUCCAGUAAAGAACAAAAGGUUUUUCAUCCUCCUCCUGGACCGAAAAGCAGACCUGUUACAAGUAUAAUCACUCAAAAUGUCUUAAGGUGGACUACAGGAGAAGCAUGUAGCAUGUCUGGAUGUUCUCCACCUGCUCUCUCAAGAUGAUCACAGCAGCUUUAGAAAAGGAGCAGCCACCAAUAGCUCUGCAGCUCUCAUGGGAUGCAGUUAAGCCCACUAUAGUUUAUCUUGGUACGGGAUAUGUUACAUCCUGCAGAAAAUCUGUGGUAAGACAAGACGUAUGAAAGAUUCUGAAGCACUGUGCAGAAUUCUGCAGAAGAAUGUGUAACAGAGAGUGGGAAGAGCAAAAUUAUGCCUUACUGUAUGAAGUGAUGCACUCCUGCUGGACCAAAUGGAAGACACGACGGGAGUACUGAGACUUUAUCAGUUUGUUUUUUAGGGGCUGCACUUUUUUUCCUUCGGAAAGGCACUGGGCUGACUAGGAAUGCUAUCUUGGAGAGGCCAGAUUCUGCCUCCUGUCUCCUUGGAUCUUCAGCAGGUUCUUGUUUAGCCCUUUCAUGUUUCAACAUGGUGGUGAAGCGGGUGUAGGACGCUGGGCAUCUCCCUUUGCAGGAGCUGAUGAGAUGCCUGUGAUGGUGGUGGUGGUGGUGGUGGUGAUGGCCCGAUCCAUAAAAGCUUUCAGAUGAUGUGAAGGAAUAGUGAUCGAAGUCACUUUCACUACAAAAGGAUGACCCCUCUAUCUGGAUAAAGUCACUGAGGUCAGAAACCACUCCAUCUUGAUCACUGUCUGAGAAAUCCAUAUGUGACCGCUGUGGCUCAUCACUGGUCACUUCAAUAUGAAUUGGCACCAGGGUUUUAGACUUGUAGCUCCGUUGUACCUGAGAGGGAUGUCUGACUUCAUUUUCUUCUUCCAGCAGAGACUCGAUAGAAAAUCGCCGCUGUGAACAUAAGCCAUUUUUAGGAGGCUCUAGUGUAAUGUUUGACAACAUUUCAUCACCUAGAUUUGGCAUUGAUUUUGACUUCUGAAUUAGUUUUUCAAAUUCCGAUAUUCUGGUUGGCACCAUAUCUCUGGGCACCUCUUCCGUAGAAGAUUCUCUCCAGCCCUGAAGGAUACCUUUAUGCUGUUCUUUUUCAUACUGCAGUAUUCUGGACUUCACAGAACAGAUCACCUCCGAGUUCAUCAAGUCCUUGCGAUUGAUACGAUGCAUCUUUUUGUACAUUUUAAGGAAACCUGGGGCAUCGUGCGCAGAUCUGUGACGAACUCUUGCCCUACCACCACCACGGCCCUCAGGUGCAUAUGGGGAUGCCCAGUUCAUUGAGCAAACCUCUUUAGCAUCCUCCUCACAUAGAAGAGAGACCAUGCUUUCAGACUUGGCCUGUGCAUCGGGAAAGCCAUCCCGAUCAUCUGUUAAAAGAUCAUCACAGCUACGAGAUUUUCUCUUUGGAGAAGUGGUUUCUUCUGUGCUGCUCCAUACUUCUGCAUUUUGUCGAGUCAUUUGCCAGCCAUUCUUGUAGCUGAUUGCCCUCCUUGAAUCAUUAGGAACAGCUAAAUGUUGUCUGUAAGUGCUACAGUAAUCUAAUUCAUUUGAGGUGUUGUGGUUGUGCACUGAAUAACUGAGGAGGGAUGGAUAUACUUUGCUAAUAUCCCCACCUUUAUAAUCCAUAGAGCAGCAUGAUAAAAGAGAGACAUUGCCAGAAAUUAAAAGAUUCAGAAAGUUGGAAUUAAUAUCAGUAAGUAUCAGAAAGACUAGAAAAGAGACAGCCAUUAGUGCAUCUGUUCUGUCAGCUUUGAACAGCACAUACGUUUCUACAGACCAGGACUGCAGAGCUAAUGAACCAUUUUCCAGCUUUAAUAACACACUUAUGAUAAUUUGAACAUUGAAAAAAAUAAAUCCAAAUUCCUUAAGAAUUGUGGUGAUGUCCGCCUCCCAAACAAAAACAAAACAGUGUAAGAAAACAACUAUCAAUAUUGAUCAUGAAGUAGGUAAAAAAAAAAAAAAAAAAGAUGAAGUCAAACCAAAAAUCUAGACUCCAGAAUUAUAACUUUGAGAUAAAUUGUUUUAUCCCUAGAGCUAAGACCAUCACUUUUUAUGUUUAAAUAGAUCACUUUUUUUUUUCCCCUGUGGUAAUCAAAUUAAAUGAUAAGUACAGAAAGUGUAAAAAUUGGACAAAAUUUGUAUCUCUUAGUUAAUUUAAAUUUCUUAUUAGUAUAUGCUGAGUUUAAGAAAUUAUUCCAUUAUACAUUCUUAACUAUGUUUCAAACACUGGCUUAACUAUAUUUCAAAAAUGUGUAUUCUGAAUGCUGUACAGAGUUUUUGAUCUGAUUAAUGUUCAGACAGUUGACAGGUGGUGCAGUAAAAAGUAAAUGCAGGUGAACCGAGUUUACCACCUUUUCACUGUCUGCCCUGGUGCACCAAAUGGAUGAGAUUAUUUUUUAAUUUACUGAUCUUAACAGUGGUUUUAAAAAAAAUCUGUUCUUCUAUCACUUCAUUCUUAGUAUUUCUCACUGUUUUUCUUUGAUACAAGGAUGGGUAUUGUAGUAGAUAGUGCUCUGUAUAUUACAUCCAUCAUAUAUUUUGCUGGAAACCUUUUGUCUUGCUAAUAAAAACACCUAAAACUCCCAAACUGCUAUUAUGGAAACACAUCUUUAAUCUCACGUAGCAUUUGUCCUGAUUUAUUUUCUCCAUAUCCUAAGAACAGUAUAAUAAG
This is an RNA transcript of Centrocercus urophasianus (Greater sage-grouse), 3758 nucleotides long. It is a transcript of the gene named chromosome unknown C4orf47 homolog, with no coding region annotated. NCBI's taxonomy places the organism in Eukaryota, Metazoa, Chordata, Aves, Galliformes, Phasianidae. The record is from RefSeq and is a predicted model, not a curated record. The transcript is spliced from 11 exons.